This 486-nucleotide ribosomal RNA is filed under the name uncultured bacterium. RNAcentral describes it as "partial 16S ribosomal RNA". It matches the Rfam family "Bacterial small subunit ribosomal RNA", at positions 30 to 507 of the family's 1533-position model. The record is from RNAcentral.
AUUGAACGCUGGCGGCAUGCCUUACACAUGCAAGUCGAACGGCAGCACGGGUGCUUGCACCUGGUGGCGAGUGGCGAACGGGUGAGUAAUACAUCGGAACAUGUCCUGUAGUGGGGGAUAGCCCGGCGAAAGCCGGAUUAAUACCGCAUACGAUCUACGGAUGAGAGCGGGGGACCUUCGGGCCUCGCGCGCUCGGGUUGGCCGAUGGCUGAUUAGCUAGUUGGUGGGGUAAAGGCCUACCAAGGCGACGAUCAGUAGCUGGUCUGAGAGGACGACCAGCCACACUGGGACUGAGACACGGCCCAGACUCCUACGGGAGGCAGCAGUGGGGAAUUUUGGACAAUGGGCGAAAGCCUGAUCCAGCAAUGCCGCGUGUGUGAAGAAGGCCUUCGGGUUGUAAAGCACUUUUGUCCGGAAAGAAAUCCUUGGCCCUAAUACGGUCGGGGGAUGACGGUACCGGAAGAAUAAGCACCGGCUAACUACGUG